RNAcentral lists this transfer RNA (81 nucleotides) under Phytophthora infestans (potato late blight agent). Its description in RNAcentral is "tRNA-Leu". The stretch from base 5 to 73 matches the Rfam family "tRNA", at positions 5 to 66 of the family's 71-position model. Rfam says of the family: Transfer RNA (tRNA) molecules are approximately 80 nucleotides in length. Their secondary structure includes four short double-helical elements and three loops (D, anti-codon, and T loops). The record is from RNAcentral. Lineage: Eukaryota; Oomycota; Peronosporomycetes; Peronosporales; Peronosporaceae.
GAUACGAUGGCCGAGCGGUCUAAGGCGCUGGUUUUAGGCACCAGUCUUCGGGCGUGGGUUCGAAUCCCACUCGCGCAUUCU